AUGUGGUCUAUCGCAAGGCACAAGGAAACCUGUCAGUCGAACAAGGAGAACCGUUCCAAAGUUAAGUUCCAUCAGAAAACUGGUUCUCGCCCCUACAUUUCCCAUGUGCAUGCUUUGAAAGAGGCUCGUAAGCAUGAAGAGUUGACUGCGUUUGAUCUAUUCAAGGAGUGCCACAAUGGCAAGAAGACUCGUUUCUCUGAGCCAGUUAAGAAGGCGAUAGCUGACAUGGAAAAAGCUAUGGAACAAGGGGUACCAGAAGGUGGAGAACCAAAGAAUGUUGCUGCUGUUGUUGCUGACGUUCUCACUAAAGAAUGUCCCUCCAGCACAUUCCUUCAAAAUGUUGGCCUUGAGUCGAGCUCCAAGAAGAAGUUCAACAAAUCUGUAGCUGCUUUGGAUGCUCAUGUACAAGAACUAGAGUACAGGCUUGAGAAGGAGAGGCGAGUCGCUAAGCUGAUGCGAGAGGAGCUUGUUGAGGUCAAGAAGAAAUCAGAGGAGACCGAAGCUGCACGCGCCGUAGAGUACCAGUUGUUACUGCAGAGAGUUGAGGCCACCGAUGCUAGAUUUGCGCGUCUCAUGGAUCUAUUCGAAGGUAAAAUAGUUUAG
This 603-nucleotide ribosomal RNA is filed under the name Triticum aestivum (bread wheat). RNAcentral's name for it is "partial small subunit ribosomal RNA". The record is from RNAcentral. Lineage: Eukaryota; Viridiplantae; Streptophyta; Magnoliopsida; Poales; Poaceae.